UACGAAGGACCCAAGCGUUAUCCGGAUUUAUUGGGUUUAAAGGGUGCGUAGGCGGAUUAUUAAGUCAGUGGUGAAAGCCUGCAGCUUAACUGCAGAAUUGCCAUUGAUACUGAUGAUCUUGAGUAUGAUUGAGGUGGGCGGAAUGUGUCAUGUAGCGGUGAAAUGCUUAGAUAUGACACAGAACACCGAUUGCGAAGGCAG
RNAcentral lists this ribosomal RNA (201 nucleotides) under uncultured bacterium. Its description in RNAcentral is "partial 16S ribosomal RNA". It matches the Rfam family "Bacterial small subunit ribosomal RNA", at positions 524 to 724 of the family's 1533-position model. The record is from RNAcentral.